UACUUGUAGGUCACGUCGGGCGCGACGCCGACGUUGCGAUCGUCGGCGAACUUGCGCAGCAGUUCGGCUUCGUUGCUGGUUUC
RNAcentral lists this transfer RNA (83 nucleotides) under compost metagenome. Its description in RNAcentral is "tRNA-Arg". The record is from RNAcentral.